RNAcentral lists this unclassified non-coding RNA (214 nucleotides) under Hevea brasiliensis (rubber tree). Lineage: Eukaryota; Viridiplantae; Streptophyta; Magnoliopsida; Malpighiales; Euphorbiaceae. The record is from RNAcentral.
GUCGGAUAAAAGUCCAGGCAGUGGGGCUAUGGGGAUUCUAUUGACCCCACAGAAAGAGAGACCUUUGAAUUUACGAGUUGUGGGGCUGGGUUUUCUUAUGUGGGUUCCACUCAGGUUUAUUGUGUAGGUACCACUUGAUGCCUAUCUGGGUUGUUUGUGGGCCCACUAAGUUUUGGACAGGGCCACUAGUGAUUCGGUGGGGAAAAAAAAGGCU